GACAGAGGAUGCAAGCGUUAUCCGGAAUGAUUGGGCGUAAAGCGUCUGUAGGUGGCUUUUUAAGUCUGCCGUCAAAUCCCAGGGCUUAACCCUGGACAGGCGGUGGAAACUACCAAGCUGGAGUACGGUAGGGGCAGAGGGAAUUCCCGGUGUAGCGGUGAAAUGCGCAGAUAUCGGGAGGAACACCAAUUGCGAAGGCAGCUCGCUGGGACGUUACUGACGCUGAGGCGCGAAAGCUAGGGUAGCGAACGGG
RNAcentral lists this ribosomal RNA (253 nucleotides) under uncultured bacterium. RNAcentral's name for it is "partial 16S ribosomal RNA". It matches the Rfam family "Bacterial small subunit ribosomal RNA", at positions 524 to 776 of the family's 1533-position model. The record is from RNAcentral.